CUAAGUGGUUAGGAGUUGGACCGAUGUGUUAGUAUCGGUUUGCUGGGUCUACCCGGUCCGCAUCGCACCAUUGACCAGCCGUGCAUUCGCGUUUCUACCUUGGUGACGUGUCGCGUUUGCACCUGUCACGCUGUCUAUGCCGAAUCUUGAGAAGAAACGGCCGCUGAACGGAUGUUAAUUAGAAAUGUAAUGACGCUCGGAGACUUGGUGACUCACCUCACCGUUGCAGAAACAGAAUAAAAUGGCGACGCAGAGUCCCUGUGAAGCAAAAUUCAUUUGGAAUUAACAAUUAAAUGAGUUCAACUUAAAUGUUCCGUGAAAUGAGCAUGUAGCAUCCGGGAAAACAUUGAAUUUACCUGAAAAGAGGCCGUGAUUGCAGAAAGAACCUCGUAAAAUUGCUCCCACGGGUGGUCCUUCGGCGGUCUGAAGGGGAUCACCAAAUAAUGUAAACCCAAAAGUGGCACCAGAAGCAGCGUCGCCCUGGAAAAAAGCGAAACCAUUAAACCAUGAAGGUUUAGUGAGGCCAGUUGGAACCAGCUAAUACUGAACAAUGAUGCAUAUAAAUAAUGGUAGCACUAUUUUUAUACGACAAACAAUAUUCCUGUCAUGAAGCACGUAUAAUGUACACCAAGUAAAAGUAACGAUG
Long non-coding RNA from Nomia melanderi (Alkali bee), 646 nucleotides. RefSeq lists it as uncharacterized. Lineage: Eukaryota; Metazoa; Arthropoda; Insecta; Hymenoptera; Halictidae. The record is from RefSeq and is a predicted model, not a curated record.